Molecule: ribosomal RNA, 497 nt
Filed under: uncultured bacterium
Lineage: Bacteria
Description: partial 16S ribosomal RNA
Rfam family: Bacterial small subunit ribosomal RNA
Source: RNAcentral
GAUGAACGCUGGCGGCGUGCCUAAUACAUGCAAGUCGAGCGAACAGAUAAGGAGCUUGCUCCUUUGACGUUAUCGGCGGACGGGUGAGUAACACGUGGUUAACCUACCUCUACGACUGGGAUAACUUCGGGAAACCGUAGCUAAUACCGGAUAACAUUUGGAACCUCAUUGUUCUAACGUUAAAGUUGGUUUUUCUUUCACUCAUAGAUUGCCCCGCCCCGUAUUAGCUAGUAGGGGAGGUAACGGCUUACCAAGGCGACGAUACGUAGCCGACCUGAGAGGGAGGUCGGCGACACGGGAACUGAGGCACGGACGAGACACCUGCGGGAGGAAGCAGUAGAGAAUCGUACGCAAUGGGCGAGAGGCGAACAGAGGAACACCGCGGGAGUGAUGAAGGAUUAAGGCUCGUAAAACUCUGUAAUUAGGAGAGAACAAAAGUGUAAGUAACUGUGCAGAUAUUGACAGUACCUAAUCAGAAAGCCACGGCUAACUACGUG